UUGCCUCAGGAAGCCGAGCUCGUCUGGAUUCCCACCAUGGCCUGGGCCCUUCUGCUCCUCACGCUGCUCACUUACUGCUCAGGGUCCUUGGCCCAGUUUGUGCUGACUCAGCCGCCCUCAGCCUCUGCGUCUCCUGGGCAAACGGUUACGAUCUCCUGUGCCAGGAGCAGCAGCAGCAUCGGUAGCUACUAUGUAUCCUGGUACCAACAGAAGCCUGGAAAUGCCCCAAAGCUAAUUAUAUAUGAGUGGAACAAGAGACCCUCUGGAAUCUCUGACCGAUUCUCCGGCUCUACAGACACCUCCGCCAAUGCUGCCUCCUUAACCAUUUCUGGGGUCCAAGCCGACGAUGAGGCUGAUUAUUACUGUGCUUCAAAUGAAGGCAACUACAGGAUCUUCGGUGGAGGAACCCAGCUGACCGUCCUUGGUCAGCCAAAGGCAUCUCCCACCGUGCACCUCUUCCCUCCAUCCUCGGAAGAGAUAAGUACAAAGAGCAAAGCCACGCUGGUGUGUCUGAUAGAAGGUUUUUACCCUGGGUCAGUCCAAGUCACCUGGAAAGCUGACAGCAAGCAGAUCUCCACUGGAGUGGAGACGACCAAACCCUCCAAACAGAGUGACAACAAGUACAUGGCCAGCAGUUACCUGUCUCUGGCUGCAUCAGAUUGGAAGAGCAAUGAGUCCUACACCUGCGAGGUGACACAUGAUGGGAAAAACAUUGUGAAGUCUUUGCAGCGCUCACAGUGUUCUUAACCCUCUGACGGCUCAGCUGGUCCUUGUGUCUAUCAGUAGAAUUUUCCACAAAAGAGCCGGGAUCAGUCUGUAGCAUCACCUUAAUGCUGAUCUCCAGCAGGCUCUGCUUCCUGUGUGAUGUGGGGGAUCUUUGAUGAUCCCUUUGAUAUCUGCUUUUAUUCCCAUGUUCCCACUGCUCUCACCCCUCUGCAUUCCCUGGAAAUGUCCUUCCUGCUUUAGUCUCUGAUGCAGCCUUGUUAUGAUAUUAAUAAAACCAGAAACAUUCACCUAUCGUUGUGUCCGUGAAGAGUUAAAAUUAUUGCCUCUUUCAAAUGUUUUCAAAAAGUUGUUUAUCAUGAUUCUGCAAUAAAAAGAUGGACAUUUA
This is a non-coding RNA of Mauremys mutica (yellowpond turtle), 1111 nucleotides long. Lineage: Eukaryota; Metazoa; Chordata; Testudines; Geoemydidae. The record is from the annotation of a RefSeq genome assembly.